UGUGCCAUUUGCUUUUUCUCUCCUCUGCCCGUCUCUGGAUGGAAAUUAAACACACAGAGGAAUUCCCUUCGUUGCAUCUCUUCAAGGAGAAAACUACUGUCUCUGCUUCCUGCCUGCAUUGCUGUCCACCGCUUGUCGUAAGGACACCGAUAGCCCUGGAAGACCCCAGGGGCUGCCGACGGUCAGACAUAGUCAGAGACACUCAAGCAAUUUUAAUCUUCGGUACAUUUUAUUGCUUUCUGAUGCUUCAUAAAAUUAGAGCCAUCCCAGUUCGCUGAUUCUCUGAUGCUCAUGCUGUUAACAUCUCUGAAGCUGGGAUGCAUCUCACUUAAAUUGAAGGUAGGCUCUUCCAGAGAGGGCCGCAGUCACUCCUGCUGGGCACCUGAGCACCACUUUAGAGUCUUGGCUUCGGGGUGGUGUUUUGGACCGCAUGGGAAGUGUGAAUUCAGACCGCAAGCCUGUGUGAGGAGGAGCCUGCAGUUCAAAUUUUCAGAGACUUCCUUCCCUUCCCUUCACUCAGUACCGGGAUGAACAUGAAGUCUCCUUGCUGUUCCCACCGUGAGGCGGGGUCAUCACUUGUUACUGGUACACCGAGCCCUCUGCUGUCUCUAAGAGACUCUCCGUGUGGGUUUAUUUUCUUUCUCAGGGAUGUGUGAAAUAAUGUUCAUCUUACAGUUCCUGAUAACUUUAAUUUGAAAAAAUAUGGCUUGUGGUUUCUCUAUUAAUCAGAACCCCCAUCGUCUGGCCAUUCCGGGGAGCAGGACAGCUGCUCUGUUAGUAAAUUCCAGCGUGGCUGUGGUCACUGAGAAUUCACUGUAGAACCCAGCACGCGGGUCUACAGAUCUCAAGGGGCAGCGCCCGGCAGCCCAGGUGUUCUGAGUCUCCCCAGCACAUGUGGGCUGGGCGGUUAGGACCGAGCCCGGCCAGACAAGACACACAGGCACUUGCCAGACCUAGGCGAGAGUCUGGAAUCCCUGCAAGCCCAGCCCCACCCAGAGGUGGCUCAGGGUGAGGUGAACAGGAUGGGUGGGAAGGGAACUCGUGUAUUGGUUGCAUUCUUUCAGGGAGAGACUCGUAGCUCAGCUCAGGUGAUGGGGUUUGACCAGGGUGGUGAGAAAGCCCUGGGAGUGACCUCAGUAGCCAUGUAGUCAUCGGCCCAGUGGUGACCCUCCUGCUUUCACUUCUCCUUCUUGGCUUCCACUGCCAUAACCUGCCUCCAGGAAUGACUGACAACCCAGCGCCUCAGAGCAAGAAGCCGACUGCCAGACUCCAGAGGAACUGCAUGUUCAAAGCACAAGUCUGGCUUUUACUUCCCCGCCAGAACCCCUUGUUCUACAACAGCUUUAGGCCUCCUGGAUGUGUCUGCAUGUCGACUGUGCCAAGACGGGCCAGAGGAUGGCUUCGGAGGACCCCAUCUCAUUACUUUCCUUUGCUCUCACUUGCUGGAACAUGGCAGAACUCUGGGGAGAGUGGAUGCUGCCGAGCACAGGAAGUGAGAAAGACCAAGAGUUCGGCCAACUCUGCUGAGAGAAGCAUCUUGGAGAUGCUGCUGAGAAAGGGACCGAGGCAGCACAGGCCUGUAGCACCACCUAGGGGAAGAAAUGCCCCUGGGCUCGCCGCUGGCGCAAGCAGACUCCUCAUUGCAAAUCGACACAAUUUAUGAAAAUGCAGGAUUCACUUGAAGAAUAAAAAAUGAGAUGAACAGAAAGGAAAAGGAGAGUCAUUGUUCAUUUCAUAAAAAUUAUUUCAAUUAUUUCUCAAUUACAAAGGCAUUCCAUUUCAGUUAGGGUACCUUUAAAAAUGUAUGUUCCCAUCCUUCA
Long non-coding RNA from Orcinus orca (killer whale), 1820 nucleotides. RefSeq lists it as uncharacterized. The transcript is spliced from 3 exons. The record is from RefSeq and is a predicted model, not a curated record. NCBI's taxonomy places the organism in Eukaryota, Metazoa, Chordata, Mammalia, Artiodactyla, Delphinidae.